AUUGAACGCUGGCGGAAUGCUUUACACAUGCAAGUCGAACGGCAGCACGGACUUCGGUCUGGUGGCGAGUGGCGAACGGGUGAGUAAUGUAUCGGAACGUGCCCAGUCGUGGGGGAUAACGUAGUGAAAAUUACGCUAAUACCGCAUACGAUCUAUGGAUGAAAGCGGGGGAUCGCAAGACCUCGCGCGAGUGGAGCGGCCGAUAGCAGAUUAGGUAGUUGGUGGGGUAAAGGCCCACCAAGCCAACGAUCUGUAGCUGGUCUGAGAGGACGACCAGCCACACUGGAACUGAGACACGGUCCAGACUCCUACGGGAGGCAGCAGUGGGGAAUUUUGGACAAUGGGCGAAGGCCUGAUCCAGCCAUUCCGCGUGCAGGAUGAAGGCCCUCGGGUUGUAAACUGCUUUUGUACAGAACGAAAAGGUUUCUACUAAUACUAGGAGCUCAUGACGGUACUGUAAGAAUAAGCACCGGCUAACUACGUGCCAGCCGCCGCUGUAA
Molecule: ribosomal RNA, 500 nt
Filed under: uncultured bacterium
Lineage: Bacteria
Description: partial 16S ribosomal RNA
Rfam family: Bacterial small subunit ribosomal RNA
Source: RNAcentral